RNAcentral lists this ribosomal RNA (792 nucleotides) under Triticum aestivum (bread wheat). RNAcentral describes it as "partial small subunit ribosomal RNA". The record is from RNAcentral. Lineage: Eukaryota; Viridiplantae; Streptophyta; Magnoliopsida; Poales; Poaceae.
AUGCAAAAAUCACACGAAAAUUGGCUCUUGAAAGGGGAUAGGAAUACUGACUACUUCCACAGAAUUGUGAAUGGGAGGAGGCGGAGAAAUACUAUUUUUUCUCUUAGUUGUGGGGAUGUGAUUAUUGAAGGAAAUAAUAAUCUCUUGGAACAUGCCACUAAUUUCUAUAAGGAACUUUUUGGUCCAGCAGUUGGAAACUUAUGUAAAAUGAAGGAAGAUAUGUGGGAAUCACGUGAGAAAUUGUCAGACAUUGACAACUUUAUCCUUACUAGACCCUUUUCUGAAACAGAAGUCAAGAAUGCACUAUUCUCUAUGAAACCAAAUAAAGCUCCUGGUCCAGAUAAUAUUCCUAUUGAGUUCUUCCAACAUUGUUGGGAGAUUGUGAAAAAUGAAGUGAUGAUGCUUUUUGACUGGUUCCAUGAUAACAAACUGGAUGUGCAGCGUCUCAAUUAUGGGAUUAUGACUCUACUGCCUAAGGUUGUGGGGGCAAACAAGAUUCAGCAAUUCAGGCCUAUUUGCUUGCUUAGAUGUAUAUACAAGCUGAUAACCAAAGUUCUGACUAUUAGGUUGGAACCUUUUGUGGAUAUUCUCUUCAGUAGACAUCAAAAUGCGUUCAUCAAGAAGCGUGACAUCAUGGAUGGGAUCAUGUCCCUGCAUGAAAUCUUGCACCACACUUACAAUAGGAAGGAAACUGGUAUUGUGUUGAAACUUGACUUCGAAAAGGCUUACGAUAAAGUCAACUGGGACUUCCUUUUGGAUUGCCACAGAAUGAGAGAAUUCCAUCCGAAAUAG